This 494-nucleotide ribosomal RNA is filed under the name uncultured bacterium. Its description in RNAcentral is "partial 16S ribosomal RNA". It matches the Rfam family "Bacterial small subunit ribosomal RNA", at positions 28 to 507 of the family's 1533-position model. The record is from RNAcentral.
GACGAACGCUGGCGGCGCGCUUAACACAUGCAAGUCGAACGGAAAGGCCUGUUUUCCCUUGUGGAUUGCGGGUACUCGAGUGGCGAACGGGUGAGUAACACGUGAGUGAUCUGCCCCCAACUUGGGUAUAAGCCUGGGAAACUGGGUCUAAUUCCCGAUAGGACUGCAGGGUGGUGCCUGUGGUGGAAAACGAUUUUCUAGUGGUUGGGGAUGAGCUCGCGGCCUAUCGGCUUGUUGGUGGGGUAAUGGCCUACCAAGGCGGCGACGGGUAGCCGGCCUGAGAGGGUGGACGGCCACAUUGGGACUGAGAUACGGCCCAGACUCCUACGGGAGGCAGCAGUGGGGAAUAUUGCACAAUGGGCGGAAGCCUGAUGCAGCGACGCCGCGUGGGGGAUGACGGCCUUCGGGUUGUAAACUCCUUUCGACCGCGAGGAAGCCACCUGGUUGGAAGGGUGGUGACGGUAGUGGUAGAAGAAGCACCGGCUAACUACGUG